AGUGAACGCUGGCGGCAGGCCUAAUACAUGCGAGUCGAACGGCAGCACAGUGGAGCUUGCUCCAUGGGUGGCGAGUGGCGGACGGGUGAGGAAUACAUGGGAAUCUGCCCAGUCGUGGGGGAUAACGUAGGGAAACUUACGCUAAUACCGCAUGCGCCCUUCGGGGGAAAGCCGGGGACCUUCGGGCCUGGCGCGAUUGGAUGAGCCCAUGUUCGAUUAGCUAGUUGGCGGGGUAAAGGCCCACCAAGGCGACGAUCGAUAGCUGGUCUGAGAGGAUGAUCAGCCACACUGGGACUGAGACACGGCCCAGACUCCUACGGGAGGUAGCAGUAGGGAAUAUUGGACAAUGGGCGCAAGCCUGAUCCAGCCAUGCCGCGUGAGUGAAGAAGGCCCUCGGGUUGUAAAGCUCUUUUGUCCGGGAAGAAAAGCAUCGGGCUAAUACCUCGGUGUUCUGACGGUACCGGAAGAAUAAGCACCGGCUAACUUCGUG
This 490-nucleotide ribosomal RNA is filed under the name uncultured bacterium. RNAcentral's name for it is "partial 16S ribosomal RNA". It matches the Rfam family "Bacterial small subunit ribosomal RNA", at positions 29 to 507 of the family's 1533-position model. The record is from RNAcentral.